UACGAAGGGGGCUAGCGUUGCUCGGAAUCACUGGGCGUAAAGCGCACGUAGGCGGCUUUUUAAGUCAGGGGUGAAAUCCUGGAGCUCAACUCCAGAACUGCCUUUGAUACUGGCGAUCUUGAGUCCGGGAGAGGUGAGUGGAACUCCGAGUGUAGAGGUGAAAUUCGUAGAUAUUCGGAAGAACACCAGUGGCGAAGGCGGCUCACUGGCCCGGUACUGACGCUGAUGUGCGAAAGCGUGGGGAGCAAACAGG
Molecule: ribosomal RNA, 253 nt
Filed under: uncultured bacterium
Lineage: Bacteria
Description: partial 16S ribosomal RNA
Rfam family: Bacterial small subunit ribosomal RNA
Source: RNAcentral